This 361-nucleotide ribosomal RNA is filed under the name uncultured bacterium. Its description in RNAcentral is "partial 16S ribosomal RNA". It matches the Rfam family "Bacterial small subunit ribosomal RNA", at positions 338 to 696 of the family's 1533-position model. The record is from RNAcentral.
CCUACGGGGGGCAGCAGUGAGGAAUAUUGGUCAAUGGGCUUACGCCUGAACCAGCCAAGUCGCGUGAGGGAAGACUGCCCUAUGGGUUGUAAACCUCUUUUGUCAGGGAGCAACGCCGGCUACGUGUAGCCGGACUGAGAGUACCUGAAGAAAAAGCAUCGGCUAACUCCGUGCCAGCAGCCGCGGUAAUACGGAGGAUGCGAGCGUUAUACGGAUUUAUUGGGUUUAAAGGGUGCGUAGGCGGAAUGCCAAGUCAGCGGUAAAAUCGCGGGGCUAAACCUCGCCCCGCCGUUGAACCUGGCGUUCUUGAGUGGUCGAGAGGCAUGCGGAAUGCGUGGGGUAGCGGUGAAAUGCAUAGAUA